RNAcentral lists this ribosomal RNA (609 nucleotides) under uncultured marine eukaryote. Its description in RNAcentral is "SSU rRNA". It matches the Rfam family "Eukaryotic small subunit ribosomal RNA", at positions 616 to 1224 of the family's 1831-position model. The record is from RNAcentral.
CGGUUAAAAAGCUCGUAGUUGGAUCUCGGCGGGCAGGGGGUGGUUCGCUCUUCAGCGCUACUGCCCCGCUUUGCCCGUGUGAUUGGCGGAGGUUUCGGGGUGCUCUUCGUUGAGUGACUCGGAGCGCCGUCAGGUUUACUUUGAAAAAAUUAGAGUGCUCAAAGCAGGCUUUUCACGCUUGAAUAUUCGUGCAUGGAAUAAUGGAAUAGGAACUCGUUUCUAUUUUGUUGGUUUUCGGAAAUCGAGUUAAUGAUUAACAGGGACAAUUGGGGGCAUUAGUAUUCAGACGACAGAGGUGAAAUUCUUGGACCGUCUGAAGACUGACUACUGCGAAAGCAUUUGCCAAGAGUGUUUUCAUUAAUCAAGAACGAAAGUUAGAGGUUCGAAGGCGAUCAGAUACCGCCCUAGUUCUAACCAUAAACGAUGCCAGCUAGCGAUCUGCCGAGUUUUCUUUGUAGGCUCCGCAGGAAGCUUUCGGGAAACCAAAGCUUUUGGGUUCCGGGGGAAGUAUGGUUGCAAAGCUGAAACUUAAAGGAAUUGACGGAAGGGCACCACCAGGAGUGGAGCCUGCGGCUUAAUUUGACUCAACACGGGAAAUCUCACCAGGCC